ACACUAUUCCCCAAGGUCGAGUAACCAUAACUUAAUACACAAAUCAUAACUUAUUUAACACAUAACAUUAUUAUUACACUAUACUAUUACAAAACUAAUCACGCACAUUAACUUUAAGCUGGAACUGUCUUUAAUCUUUCCUUGUAUCUGACGCAUUCGCCUUAAUCUACAAUGUUUUAUCAUGAUAUAGCAAGGGUGAGCAUAAAAGUUGUCCAACAAGUUUAAAUUCAAUAAUAUAACGAUAUAUCAUGAUUGAAAGAGUCUGAAUAAUAAGCUGGCGAUAAUUCAACAAUAUAAUUGUGAACUAGCACGAACAAAUUUAUGACUGAACAAGUAUUAUACAUGAACAAAUAUAUCUGAAACCAACUGGUAAUGAAGGUGAUCAGCCUUUCAUACCUGACUUAUACAUGCAAUAUGUACANNNNNNNNNNNNNNNNNNNNNNNNNNNNNNNNNNNNNNNNNNNNNNNNNNNNNNNNNNNNNNNNNNNNNNNNNNNNNNNNNNNNNNNNNNNNNNNNNNNNAUUUUUCAUGUAUUAAAAUCAUUUUUAAAUAAUUUAUUUAAUAUUAUAAUUAAAUAAAUUAAAUACCAUUUAUAUUCCAAAAAUAUUAAAUAUUUAUGAAAUAUACUCAAAAUAAUUAAAAACUAUUUUUCAGUCUUUAAAAUAAUUUUUUGUAAUUUAUUUAUUAUUUUUAAUGAUUAAAAACCAUUUAAUUUGAUUUAUUAAAUUAAUUAAUCUAUUUUGCAAAAAUAAUUGUCUCUAAAGGACCCUAUAGCGACAGACCCGUCGCUAUAGGUGUUCUUGAGCCUGCCCAGAUAAGCAAGUCAGUCACCGAGUUGGUAUGUUUGACCACAAAUGAAUCUGCGUUCCGGUCGAUUUUUGGGCUUGAUAAUGGUCAGAUCCUGUAGUAUUGAUGCAACACUACAUGAUCUAACCAUCAUUAGGGUUAUAAUGCAUCACACAAGCACGAUCUAGACUUCUAAAAAGUCUGACAAAGCUGUUCUUCAUUUCUGGGUUCUCCAGAAAUGAAGAACAGUUGCUACUACCUCUUUUGGAUCCUUAUAAAAUGCAUAUUUAAGAUUUCUUUGUGUGAUAUGAAGGUUCAUAUAUGUAGUGGAGAUGUCAGUGAACAACUUGAUAUCCUUAGAUUAGUCUAACAACAACAUUACACGAAGAUGUAGGCCGGUCAAACUACUUGUCAGGAACUCGGCUGAUGAAGAUCUGGGUUACCCAGAAUCUUCAUCCGGCGUGAUGGUCAACGCCUGUUUGACCCACAAUUUCUAUGAUUCUGUUACGGUGUUUGGUGAUCUAAAGGCAUGAGUGUGAAGUCCUUAUACGUGUCUACAACAUAUAAACAACAACAUAACAAAAACAAUAACAUACAGUAAGAUCAAAGACUCAGAAAACGUUGUCAGACGAGAUCUGGGCUUCUGGGUUGCCCAGAAACUCAGUCUCUAUGACCGGUCAACGCAGUUUGACUGCUCAUAUCUCUCAAUCCUAUCAUGAUCUGGCCAUGUUUAUAGUUUCAGAUCAAAGUUCUCAUGACAUAGAACACAUUUAUAACAUAAAACAACACAAAGCAAAAAUAGAGAAGGAUUUACAGGCCUUGACAUUAGCUUGGCAGGCCAUAUUUCUAACUUUUUCCAGAUUUUAAAAAUCAUCAAAUCCGAGCAUUUUGAUGUUAUGGAUCUGGGAUUUAACAACCCAGAUCACUAAAAGACACCUUAUUACACAUCUUUAACCAAUCAAUUACAACUUUUAACAUCAAAUCAAAAUAUUUUAAAAAUUAGGGUUCUUAUACCUUUUGAAGCUAUGAUUCUGAUUCUGAUCCUUGAUGAUCUGAUAUUUGAUAGUUAUGGACUGAUCAUGUCUUAUCUUAUAUCACUUUCUCACUCUACAUUUUUCGGAUUUUAGAGAGAGAAGGUCUUGGAGAGAAAUAAAAAUGUAAGUGGCCAUUUCUCUCUCUUUAAUCUCUAUAAAUGACUUGAUGCAAUGGAAUGGCUGGAAAUUUCUGCUGAGAUAGCUCGUAAUUGUCAAAUGCUAUGCUUAGGGUUGGCCACCAACUCACAAUAGGUCAAUUCUUGCAAGUUAAGUCACAAUAAUGCACUAAGGACAUUUUAGUCUUUUCGUAUACAAAAUUAAUGGCAUUCUUAUCAAUUAGCCAAACCCUUAGGGUUUAGGGUUUGGGUUAGGGUUUAUAAUUUGGACCAUUUUAGGAUUUAGGGUUUAACCCUUAACUUGCAAUUUAUUUUUCUAAAAUUUCCAAUUUAGGUUUUUAAAAUAGAAAAUUAACAUUUUCAAAAUUAUAAUUAUAAUUUUCUAAUUAUAUUAAAAUUUCUUAAUCAUUACUUAAAUCUUGCUAAUUAGGAUUAGCAUUUCCUAAUUCCAAUCGCUAAUUAAAUAAUUAGGGUCAAAAUGGUCAUUAGGGUUUAUAAACCACUAAUUAGGGUUUUCAAUAGAAAAAAAAAUAAUUUUCUAAUUUAGAAAUUAAAUUUCGUAAUUAGAUUAGGGUUUUCUAAUUGCUUAAUUUUGAAAAUUAGGAUUAAUAUUUCCUAAUUAAUAUUAAAAUUAUUAAAUUAACACUUAGGUUUUUUUCCCGAAUUAUAAAUUAGGGUUUCUUAUCCCGAAAUUAGGGUUUUCUAAAUUUAAAAUUAGGGUUUACUAAAUAAUUAAGCUUUACCCUAAUUAAUAUUAUAAUUAAUAGCACUUAAGCAUUAUAAUUAUCCUUUACGUUCCAAGAUUAGGGUUUCAUACAUCGAAUUAGGGUUUCGAAUUUCCCCAAACCGACAUUAGUGUUUCAGAACCGGUUUUAGGGUUUCUUGUUAAUCUCUAGGAUUUUCUAACCGAACGUUGACGUUCUUAAUAUAUACGUAGGGUUUGUUACAGAUAUCAUUUAUCUGGUCAACCCUUGACCCUUAACCACAUACUGUACACAUAUUCAUAGAACAUAUUCGCUUAUUCCCUUAAUCAUGAAUAAUUCACCUAAAUCCUUAACAGAAUUUUGAAAUCCUCAAAAUUCUAUCUUAAAAAUAUCAAACACAUACACUUAUUUUCUGUCUAGGUUCAAAUUAUGAACCUUAAAUUAAUUAAUAAAAAUUUUAAAAAUAUUCAAAAUUCUCGGGUUGUCACAUUCACCCCUUCUUCUAAAAAUUUCGUCCCCGAAAUUUACCUUACACCUUACACCAUACACCAUACAUACACAACAUCUCAUGCUACCCAAUAAACCACUCACAAGAGUAAAAAUUUUCAAAUUUUGCUGAGGAGUCAUAUAGACUAUUUGUCUGUCAUUUUCGCAAAGGUUUUAUGGAAAUUCAUCCACAAACUAUCAGAACUUACAGACAUAAAGGGUGAUUAGCCCGAUAUGUCCUGUACUGGCCAAGUACUGAUUUUAUCUGUUUCUCUUCACUGCCAUAGGCACAAAAAUUCUACCUCAGUCUUAUUGGAUUCCGCACCAAUACAAUUUGGUUCGGGAAAUUUCUUUCAAUGAACAUUUAGAGUUUUCAUAAACCUUAGUCUAGCUGAAUCGAAUAGCGUAGACUCAUAUCAAUAAUUCAAUUCAAUCGAAUUAUUUAAGUGUAGCCAAACCCCGUUGACAAAUUAAAUUUUAGUGAUUUUUUUUUUGAGAAUGACGUCAUGAUGCCGUACUGUAUUAACAGUCCGUGUGAGGAUGCCGUCAUUAUAUGACUUUGUCAUAACACAUCAUACAAUAGUGGAAUAACGAUUUUAGAUCAAAUUCACACUAAGUAUUCCUAUAUUUACAACUCCAUCAACUUUUUAUCAUCUCUGCAUCAGGUUACAUGGUACAUGAGUGAUAAAUAAAAUAUAUUUUGAUAUAUCAAAUCAUUUGCGUCUAGCUGAAAUAAGUAGUAUAGACUAUACUUUAAACUGUUUCAAAAAUGAUUACGAGUCUGCAUAUUUUUUUUAAAAGGCACAUAGUGCGUAUUUAGCUUGAUGUCAAAAUUUUGAAGUCUAGCAUAGUUAGGAGUUUUGGAAAACUUAUGUCUUCACUAAUAAUCGUUUUCUUAAACAAUCUAUCUAUUCUUAUUAUCUUUAAUACUCCAUUUACACACAACUAUACCCAGUUCGUAAAACCACACUUAUGAGUCCAUAAAUUGUCACAAUCAUAUGAGUUUAAGAACUUUUCUAGACAGACCGUUGGCGUCCAUUCGCUGAGGGGUUCAGAAACAUUUCAUAUAACUAUGAAUCAAGUAUGUCACAUAAGUAUGAGUUUUAAGAACUUGUACUUAACCUUAUAUCCUCUACCUAUGACCUAACUAUCUGUUAUACACAUGAAAAAUGAAUCACCCUCUUAACAUGCAUAUAUCAAAUAGCGCGACACAACAUUUCAAUGAUUAUAAUUGUCAGAACUUAGUAGUUGUUACACCAAGUAAAAUUCCCCGCCCACACAAGGAAUCAUACAACUCAGCUGCCGACAUGAAUCCUCAAUUGAAUCCCUACCUAACACUAACCCCCUUCUCAAUACGAAUUUCAUUCAACUCGUAUUCAUAUUCCUUUCCUGAAUCUGUACCAAUUUACACAACAAUAUUGCUGUAAACUUUCCAAUCAUCAGAUUGAUUCUUAUCCCAUACUAUAACCUUAUCCGAUCACGGGGUGAUCUCAUCGUAUAUAUUACGAUUCAUUUCUAUAUCUUGAUCAUUUUGUUUUACGAUCUCCUAUCACUGUACUUUUAGUCUUUUAGACUCUAUCUAUUCACCACUACUGUUCAACUUUAUUAUCAGAGUUAGGGAACUCUGUAUCUUUACACUCGCUGAGAUUCAUCUUUGAAUCUUAUCGACUAACUAACUCUGUGUAAGUUAGUACUUAUCCUAAUCAGUGCGGUUAUUAGUCUCAGGUAUUUCUACCUAAGGUUCAUAACCAACAACUUUGAUACUAACUGUGACGACCCCGAAUCCGAGGUCCCGAAUCACCGCGGAUCCGGUUCGAUCAUUCUAACACUAUUACUAUUUGCGGAAGAUAUAAACAUAAAUUGUUUAUACAUUAACUUUACACACUAUUCCCCAAGGUCGAGUAACCUUAACUUAAUACACAAAUCAUAACUUAUUUAACACAUAACAUUAUUAUUACACUAUACUAUUACAAAACUAAUCACGCACAUUAACUUUAAGCUGGAACUGUCUUUAACCUUUCCUUGUAUCUGACGCAUUCGCCUUAAUAUGCAAUGUUUUAUCAUGAUAUAGCAAGGGUUAGCAUAAAAGUUGCCCAGCAAGUUUAAAUUCAAUAAUAUAACGAUAUAUCAUGAUUGAAAGAGUCUGAAUAAUAAGCUGGCUAUAAUUCAACAAUAUAAUUGUGAACUAGCACGAACAAAUUUAUGACUGAACAAGUAUUAUACAUGAACAAAUAUAUCUGAAACCAACUGGUAAUGAAGGUGAUCAGCCUUUCAUACCUGACUUAUACAUGCAAUAUGUACAUAGUAUAAUUCAUGGCAACCAGCAAUGAUUAACCAUAAGCUUAUUCGAAUGAAACAACUCUUAGUAGAGUUCAGUAAAAACAAACUUGCCUGAACCGUUGAUUACCGCUACGCAAUUUAUAACGCUUUAUCCGAAGACCUAAUAUUAGUAAUAUAGAUCUUCAAUAUUAGAAUAAUACCAUCAUAAUAUACUACUAUUAUAUAUAUA
RNAcentral lists this long non-coding RNA (5635 nucleotides) under Panax ginseng (ginseng). Its description in RNAcentral is "long non-coding RNA (PGIN_LNC011610)". Lineage: Eukaryota; Viridiplantae; Streptophyta; Magnoliopsida; Apiales; Araliaceae. The record is from RNAcentral.